UGUAGUCUCAACGAUGAUGCAUACAUGUCAACUAUGGGUGUUGGCUCCAACAAUUCGCAUUGGUCUCAAACCAAUGGCAUGCACUUUGAUGACCAUGAGUUCGAGGUGGACGAGGAUGGUGAGGGCAUUGUCGACGCACCGAAAGGAAGAGCGGGCAAUUACACCAAUGCCGAAGACAUCUUACUAUGCAAUACUUGGUUGCAAGUAUCGAGGGAUCCAUCCAUUGGAGGUGUCAAAGUAGACAUGCUUAUUGGAACCGGAUGA
RNAcentral lists this ribosomal RNA (264 nucleotides) under Triticum aestivum (bread wheat). Its description in RNAcentral is "partial small subunit ribosomal RNA". Lineage: Eukaryota; Viridiplantae; Streptophyta; Magnoliopsida; Poales; Poaceae. The record is from RNAcentral.